RNAcentral lists this ribosomal RNA (702 nucleotides) under uncultured bacterium. RNAcentral describes it as "bacterial SSU rRNA". It matches the Rfam family "Bacterial small subunit ribosomal RNA", at positions 28 to 776 of the family's 1533-position model. The record is from RNAcentral.
AACGAACGCUGGCAGCAGGCUUAACACAUGCAAGUCGAGCGAAGACUUCGGUCUUAGCGGCGGACGGGUGAGUAACGCGUGGGAAUAUGCCCUUUGCUACGGAAUAGUCCUGGGAAACUGGGGGUAAUACCGUAUGUGCCCUUCGGGGGAAAGAUUUAUCGGCAAAGGAUUAGCCCGCGUUGGAUUAGGUAGUUGGUGGGGUAAUGGCCUACCAAGCCGACGAUCCAUAGCUGGUUUGAGAGGAUGAUCAGCCACACUGGGACUGAGACACGGCCCAGACUCCUACGGGAGGCAGCAGUGGGGAAUCUUAGACAAUGGGGGCAACCCUGAUCUAGCCAUGCCGCGUGAGUGAUGAAGGCCUUAGGGUUGUAAAGCUCUUUCAGCUGGGAAGAUAAUGACGGUACCAGCAGAAGAAGCCCCGGCUAACUCCGUGCCAGCAGCCGCGGUAAUACGGAGGGGGCUAGCGUUGUUCGGAAUUACUGGGCGUAAAGCGCACGUAGGCGGACCAGCAAGUUAGGGGUGAAAUCCCGGGGCUCAACCUCGGAACUGCCUUUAAAACUGUUGGUCUGGAGUUCGAGAGAGGUGAGUGGAAUACCGAGUGUAGAGGUGAAAUUCGUAGAUAUUCGGUGGAACACCAGUGGCGAAGGCGGCUCACUGGCUCGAUACUGACGCUGAGGUGCGAAAGCGUGGGGAGCAAACAGG